UUAAAGAUAAGCUAAUGUAAGCUGACGGGUUCAUACCCCGUUUAUGAGAUCCCUCUCUUUAAA
RNAcentral lists this transfer RNA (63 nucleotides) under Proasellus ortizi. Its description in RNAcentral is "transfert RNA-M(ATG)". The record is from RNAcentral. Lineage: Eukaryota; Metazoa; Arthropoda; Malacostraca; Isopoda; Asellidae.